This 346-nucleotide ribosomal RNA is filed under the name Pseudo-nitzschia fraudulenta. RNAcentral's name for it is "partial Bacterial small subunit ribosomal RNA". It matches the Rfam family "Bacterial small subunit ribosomal RNA", at positions 12 to 355 of the family's 1533-position model. Lineage: Eukaryota; Bacillariophyta; Bacillariophyceae; Bacillariales; Bacillariaceae. The record is from RNAcentral.
UUUGAUCCUGGCUCAGGAUGAACGCUAGCGGCAGGCCUAAUACAUGCAAGUCGAGGGGCAGCAUGAGUACUUGUACUUGAUGGCGACCGGCGCACGGGUGCGUAACGCGUAUGCAACUUACCCUUUACUGGGGGAUAGCCCGGGGAAACUCGGAUUAAUACUCCAUAGUACUAUAAAGUCACAUGAUUUAAUAGUUAAAGAUUUAUUGGUAAAAGAUGGGCAUGCGUAUCAUUAGUUAGUUGGUAAGGUAACGGCUUACCAAGACUUCGAUGAUUAGGGGGCCUGAGAGGGUGAUCCCCCACACUGGUACUGAGACACGGGCCAGACUCCUACGGGAGGCAGCAGU